This 266-nucleotide signal recognition particle RNA is filed under the name Halalkalibacter wakoensis JCM 9140. Its description in RNAcentral is "Bacillus wakoensis JCM 9140 Bacterial large signal recognition particle RNA". It matches the Rfam family "Bacterial large signal recognition particle RNA". Rfam says of the family: The signal recognition particle (SRP) is a universally conserved ribonucleoprotein involved in the co-translational targeting of proteins to membranes. Archaeal SRP consists of a 7S RNA and homologues of the eukaryotic SRP19 and SRP54 proteins. The record is from Rfam by way of RNAcentral. Lineage: Bacteria; Bacillati; Bacillota; Bacilli; Caryophanales; Bacillaceae.
CCGUGCUAGAUGGGGAGCUGGCGGUGCCCUGUAACUCGCAAUCCGCCUUAGCGAGGUUGAAUUCCUUUUAGCGGUAUGAUUCAUGUGAGGCUUGCCUUAUGCAAAUGGUGUUGACUAUUGGAGUCUGCGCAACAGAAGUCUAUGAAACUGGUCAGGUCCGGAAGGGAGCAGCCAUAAGUAGAUGACUCUGUGUGCCGCAGGUCGCUCUAAUUGAGCUAGUUGCACAAGUAACGCUCAUGUGAAUCUUAUCUAUAAAAGGUGCACGG